Molecule: ribosomal RNA, 494 nt
Filed under: uncultured bacterium
Lineage: Bacteria
Description: bacterial SSU rRNA
Rfam family: Bacterial small subunit ribosomal RNA
Source: RNAcentral
GAUGAACGCUAGCGGCAGGCCUAAUACAUGCAAGUCGAACGCUCAGUAGCAAUACUGGGAGUGGCGCACGGGUGCGUAACGCGUACACAAUCUACCUCUAAGCGGGGGACACCUCCUGGAAACGGGGAUUAAUACCGCAUAAUAUGCCGAAGUCGCAUGACUUUGGUAUUAAAGCAGCAAUGCACUUAGAGAUGAGUGUGCGUCCCAUUAGGUAGUUGGUGAGGUAACGGCUCACCAAGCCUAUGAUGGGUAGCCGGUCUGAGAGGAUGGUCGGCCACACGGGCACUGAGACACGGGCCCGACUCCUACGGGAGGCAGCAGUAAGGAAUAUUGGUCAAUGGUGGAAACACUGAACCAGCCAUGCCGCGUGGAGGAAUAAGGUCCUACGGAUUGUAAACUCCUUUUGACGAGGAAGAAAAUGUUAGAUUUAUCUAAUUUUGACGGUACUCGUAGAAUAAGCACCGGCUAACUCCGUGCCAGCAGCCGCGGUAAAU